GAAUAUUAAUAGUCGAAGCUUUGCUAUUUGCAAAGCGCGGGGGACCCAAUUGUAAUGGGGCGAAUUCCUUAUUUGUAAGGAUAGAGCACUCAUAAGCUCGAGCCCGUCAGCUAACCUCGUAGACUUUUAUGGGGUGUGUU
RNAcentral lists this small RNA (140 nucleotides) under Desulfurella acetivorans. Its description in RNAcentral is "c-di-AMP sequence". It matches the Rfam family "c-di-AMP riboswitch aptamer (ydaO/yuaA leader)". Rfam says of the family: This family represents a conserved RNA structure found upstream of the ydaO and yuaA genes in Bacillus subtilis and related genes in other bacteria. The ydaO/yuaA element is thought to act as a genetic "off" switch for the ydaO and yuaA genes in its native state. The record is from RNAcentral. Lineage: Bacteria; Pseudomonadati; Campylobacterota; Desulfurellia; Desulfurellales; Desulfurellaceae.